Molecule: ribosomal RNA, 413 nt
Filed under: uncultured prokaryote
Description: bacterial SSU rRNA
Rfam family: Bacterial small subunit ribosomal RNA
Source: RNAcentral
GUGUCAGCAGCCGCGGUAAUACGGAGGGGGCUAGCGUUGUUCGGAAUUACUGGGCGUAAAGCGCACGUAGGCGGCUUAUCAAGUCAGGGGUGAAAUCCCGGAGCUUAACUCCGGAACUGCCUUUGAGACUGAUAGGCUUGAGUUCGGGAGAGGUAAGUGGAAUACCUAGUGUAGAGGUGAAAUUCGUAGAUAUUAGGUGGAACACCAGUGGCGAAGGCGACUUACUGGACCGAUACUGACGCUGAGGUGCGAAAGCGUGGGUAGCAAACAGGAUUAGAUACCCUGGUAGUCCACACCGUAAACGAUGAAUGCCAGUCGUCGGCAAGCAUGCUUGUCGGUGACACACCUAACGGAUUAAGCAUUCCGCCUGGGGAGUACGGUCGCAAGAUUAAAACUUAAAUGAAUUGGCGGGG